This 476-nucleotide ribosomal RNA is filed under the name Macoma balthica. RNAcentral's name for it is "Limecola balthica partial 16S ribosomal RNA". It matches the Rfam family "Bacterial large subunit ribosomal RNA", at positions 1819 to 2600 of the family's 2925-position model. Lineage: Eukaryota; Metazoa; Mollusca; Bivalvia; Cardiida; Tellinidae. The record is from RNAcentral.
GGCUUUCUGAAAUAUAUUAAUCGAAGGUCUGGCCUGCYCGGUGGAGGAMGUCUCAACGGUCGCAGCUCCAACUGUGCGAAGGUAGCGUAAUAGGUCGUCCCUUAAUUAGGGGAAAGUAUGAAUGGUCGGAUGUUGGAAAGACUUUAUUAAAGAGAUAGGUCGAAUUUUACUUUCUAGUGCAAAGGCUAGAAUUUCGUUAUUAGACGAGAAGACCCUGUUGAGCUUGGUAAGGCUAGUUCUCUUGGAAUUAGAGCUAUGUUUGUUCGGGGCUGAAGGGAAGGGAGAUAAUGCCUUCUAUGUUAUAGAAAAGAUCCAAUUUGAUUGAUUGGUGGAAGAUAGUUACCACAGGGAUAACAGCGCAAUCAUUCUGAUAAGGCCAUAUUUAAGGAGUGGUUUGCGACCUCGAUGUUGAAUCAAAAUUUCUACUAGGUGUAGCAGCUUAGUAAGUGGGACUGUUCGUCCUUUAAAAUUUUACG